Molecule: ribosomal RNA, 240 nt
Filed under: uncultured bacterium
Lineage: Bacteria
Description: partial small subunit ribosomal RNA
Rfam family: Bacterial small subunit ribosomal RNA
Source: RNAcentral
AGGAUAAACGCUGGCGGCGUGCCUAACACAUGCAAGUCGAACGUCCUACGCAAGUAGGGAGUGGCGGACGGGUGAGUAACACGUGGGCAAUCUACCUUUCGGUGAGGAAUACCGGCGAGAAAUCGCCGACAAUACCGCAUACGCUUCGCAAGAAGCAAAGUCGCAAGACGCCGGAGGAGGAGCCUGCGCCCGAUUAGCUGGUUGGUGAGGUAAGAGCUCACCAAGGCGACGAUCGGUAGC